Molecule: ribosomal RNA, 468 nt
Filed under: uncultured bacterium
Lineage: Bacteria
Description: partial 16S ribosomal RNA
Rfam family: Bacterial small subunit ribosomal RNA
Source: RNAcentral
GACGAACGCUGGCGGCGUGCUUAACACAUGCAAGUCGAACGGAAAGGCCCUGCUUUUGUGGGGUGCUCGAGUGGCGAACGGGUGAGUAACACGUGAGUAACCUGCCCUUGACUUUGGGAUAACUUCAGGAAACUGGGGCUAAUACCGGAUAGGAGCUCCUGCUGCAUGGGGGGGGUUGGAAAGUUUCGGCGGUUGGGGAUGGACUCGCGGCUUAUCAGCUUGUUGGUGGGGUAGUGGCUUACCAAGGCUUUGCCGGGUAGCCGGCCUGAGAGGGUGACCGGCCACAUUGGGGUUGGGUUCCGGCCCGUCCCCCACCGGGGGCAGGCAUGGGGCAAUUUGCCACAAUGGCGGGAGCCUGGAUCCAGCACCCCCGCGGGCGGGAUCGCGCCCUUCGGGUUUAAACCCGCUUUCCCCUGUGACGAAGCGGGAGUGCGGGUAAUGGGUAAAGACACCCCCCCAAACCCCGUC